This is a long non-coding RNA of Chinchilla lanigera (long-tailed chinchilla), 824 nucleotides long. RefSeq lists it as uncharacterized. The record is from RefSeq and is a predicted model, not a curated record. The transcript has 4 exons. Lineage: Eukaryota; Metazoa; Chordata; Mammalia; Rodentia; Chinchillidae.
ACUGCAUCAUUUUCCAUUCCAGCCAGUGCAGGAGCCAGGCUAAGACUGUGCUGAGGACCGCAGCAAGGAGAGACCCCAAAAAGGAAUGUCUCCAAAACAAUAGAGUUGCCUGUGACGGGGUCCCUCUUUUGAGAAGGUGCAACCGUUGCCAUCUCAAGCUCUGAAAGGAAGCCCGGCAGAUUCCUGGUGCCCUAAGAACCCACCACUUCCUUGCACAGUGACUGUGGGAAACUUCAGAUCACCUCAGCUUCUCUGUCUGCAAAGUGGAUGUCUGCAAAGGCCUUCUCCCCACCCCCGGAGAACUGGUGUGAAGAAUGAAGCAGGUUGACAGAGACAAACUGGAAGGGAGGAUGUGAAACUUUGAGUCUUUCAUUCCAAGGCUUUUACCCCUUCCUGACCACUACUCCAUCACUGGGGUGCUCGAGCAUAGAACCCAGGCUGAAGCAACUCGGCGUGCACGUGAGGUGAGGCCCAGGGGACUCAUUUGAAUGGCAGUGGUGGCAGCAAAGGCCGUCAGCGGCAGCACUGUGCAGGGCUGGCUUCAUAGCAGUGGCACCCAUGCCACGCUGGUAAUGAGUCAUCACUCAGCUGCUGGCUCGGUGGAGCCUCCACACUCUCAUCUCCGCCCUGCUGCCGGGGCAGGAAUGUGCCCGGCACGUCUCAGAACCGCCUGACCAGCUCUUGGCAAGUUUCUUUCCUGCCUUGGGCAGCCGGAACCAGAUUGUUACCUGCAGUUAAGAACUCCAGUGAAUCGGGCUGGGGAUUUAGCUCAGUGGCAAAGCACCUGCCUGGCAAGCGCAAGGUCGUGAGUUCGGUUCCCGGUA